AUUCACUCAGCAGCCCAAGCCCGGCCAGGCAGCGCGCGCUGCUCCUUGGGGGCGCCCUCGCAGCUGGGGUGAGGGCGGGUCCGAGGGAGCGUCCCUCUCGGAGACACCCUCCUCUUCAACCCAACACGCGCUCUCAGCUGGCCGGUGUGGCACAACCCUCCCCCCACCUCCCCUUCUUGGCCUUCGCCAGUGUGGGAGCCUCGUCUCACUGGAGAGUCCGUUCAGGUAAGCAGUGAGUCCGGGCAGGGUCGAAUGCGGUGGGAGUAGAGAUGGGGUUGUUAAUCUAAAAGAGUGGUUUGGAGGGAGGGGCAGGUAGGCUCCAAGAGGGCGGGAACUUCAGGAAAGCGCAGAAAGAACUCAGUCAAGCUUCAAAGAAGCGUAUACCCUUGCUUUGCACCCUUGAGUCUGGCUCUUGCUUCUAGAACUGUCGGGUAGGGGAGUGGCCAUGAUCUUGGGGUCACUGGGGAAAGAGGUGGCCCUUUGUGGGUUCCAGAGGUCGGGACUGAAAGCGAACGUCCCUCAGUUGGGUGGCCGGGAGUUGCACCAGUUAUAAGCCGGGCGUAUUUCGAUCGGCUAGUAGUUGUUUACUUGGUGAGGUUUGCGCCAGGCGGAAGGCGGUUGCCGCCUACCUAAAAUUGGAGUCAGCAGCACUUAGUUUCCCUUUCCAGUGAGGAAUAUCUAAUUCUUCUACGGUUAAGCCGGGAAAACAGCGGCUAGUUUAGGAGGGAAGAAAACCCUUGGGCAAACGCCCAAAGCCUGCGUAUAUUCCGGCCGGAGCAUCCUGGCGCCCAGUUUGGGGAGGAGGGGUGAAGGGGAGGGUUUGGAUACGAAGCCCGGCAGGGAGCGGGUAACUCCUGGAGCCACUCCGCCGAGCACUGCCUGUGGCCCUGGUCGAGGAUACCAUUCUGGUUGCUCAGUGAUUGACCAGGAGGCGGAAGCCAGUUAAGGGGACCAAGGAGUGGAGUAGGGAGAACCUCCAUCGGCCCACGGGCGCGAGUUAGUGUUCGAAUCUUUGGGAGCUCGAAGAGCUUCGCUAAAUCUGACUCCCUUCGUCUAGUCUCUGUUUGGCAGCCCCCGCGCCCCAGAGCAGGUGUUUGGGGCGGGUAGGGGGUGUUUUGGUUUGGUUUUUGGAUCUUCUAAAGGAGUCAGUAUCUAUUGGGAAACAACCCCUAGGCAAGGAGAAGAACCGGGGGCCGGAGCGGAGCGUGUUUCAGAGGUGCGUAUAAAAUCCCAGGGGCGCCAGGAGGCAGCAGCGACGGCGCAGCGUGGGACGGCCAGGCGCGACGGGAGGGAAGCAACCGGUUGCAGUCCGGCCUCCUGUACCUGGCUGGCCCGGGCUGGGGCUGCAAGCUUUCCAGCCAAACUUAUGUGAAGCAAAGUAGUUGCAGUUUGACAAAGAAUGGCGUUUCAAUAAAUGACAUAGUAAUUUUUUACGCUUUGGUUUUUAGCUUGCAUUGCAUAAACGUUGUCGCCAUUAAAUUCUGGCUGCGGACCCGAAGUGUGUGCGGGCCCAGGACUUACUCGAAGGGCGCACUUCUUGGGAAUGCGCAUCCCGUAGGCGCAGGAGACCCUGAGGGUAAAGAUGCGGCACUUGAGCCCUCCGCUUGCCUCCCAGGCCACCUUUGCUGCUUGACUUUGCGUCGUCUCCACUCAGAAGCUUUUAAAAUUAUUAUUAAGAAAAGAAAGAUUCUACAAGACACUGCCCCCACGCUCUCUGCUCAGUCCUCUCCCACACGAUCUAUCCCUAAACCUUUCGCGGGGCUCGCGCGUUUGGUUUUUUGAGUGGAGAAAGGACUCUCGAGACAAAAUUCACUGCCAGUUGCCCUAAGAACCCCCCAGAUCCCUGUAUCUCCCUUCCUUCUCCCCGCCUAUUAUUUCUACUUGGAAGUCGUUUUUCUUAACUAGGACUCAACUGUGAGGGGCGAGGAGCCCUUUAUGAAAAGCCGGGGACUUUCAUUUCCAAACGAAAAGAUUGAGAUUGUUUCUUCUUUUACCAUCCUUGGCACUUUUAGCGGGGGGAGAGGAGGUUAUCUGAAGGGAGGCUGGCUUGAAUGUGAGUCGUUGUGUUUGUGAAACCCAGGUAAGGCAAAGACACGUAAAUCUCUGCCAACAUUUUUCAAAAAUAAGUUUUUGCCCCGGGGUGAGGGAUGUAGGGGUGGAUAGGAGGAAAGGAGAGCCAAGCAAAUGUAGAACUCCUCUCUCCUCUGCCAUUUAUUUUCUCAGAAUCCUUGUGGGGGCGGGGAGGGGAAGAGCACCGGUGCGAACCCCGGGGUGCCCCCUCGCCCGACUUGGACUUCUCCGACUAAAGAGGUGGGAGGAGUUCCCUGCAGCCUGCGGGGCCAAGAAGAAAGUGCUAAGCUGAGGAGCCGCAGUCGGAGGACCCCAGGGACCCGACAGGAAGUCUCCGUACGACCCCAACGGAUCCACAUGCCCGGAAGCCCAGGCGACACUAAGCCAGCGCUGGGGAACUGACGUACUCCUGCAGUCGCAGGGCGCUCCAUGCCUCUCUGUCCUCUUCUUUGUUGUGGGUAACGUUCUCUGCGGGAGACCUGAGGUUUUCCAAGGGGGACAUGCCAGCUACACUGGCCUUGGCGCCCUGAGCUAAGCACCAGGACUCACAGCCUAGCACGAAGGCAGGUAGCACCUUCACCCGCCGCGGACGAUAGGCGCUCUCCUGUACCUCCUUUAGCUCGCGAGGCCCGCCCUUCGCGAGGUCCCAGAGAAAAGCAGGCUGUGGAAAACUGGGCGCCCCCUUCUUUCACCCACCUUCUUACCCCUGUCAGCGCCGAGAUCUGUAGCAGAGGUUCCUGGUCUGAACCACCGAUUGGCAAAGAAAGCUGCAGAUUAAACUUCUCGUUUUACAGAGAAGGAAACUGAGGCCCAGACAGCCGAAGGAGAGGCAGUCUAUGGAGCGCAGCGGUAAAGAGCAAGGGGUUGGUGGCCCCAGAAUGGAACCUCAGCUCUGCCAGAGCUAAUGGGAUGCAGAGGCGAGGACAGCCCCUGGAAAACCAUGUGGCGUUGAUACACUGGCAAAGCGCAGGCAUCCCGGCCUCGAAGGUGCAUAAUUAUUGCAAUAUGAAAAAAUCGAGGCUGGGUAGGAGCAGGGCAGUGAGGAUUUCUCAACCCUUACUUUCACCCCGGCGCUGUCCACUGCAUCUGACAGAGCGCGGAGCUGGGCUGCUACAGCCGCAACCCCAGGGACCAGUGCGCACGCCUGGGCCGCCCUCCGGGAGUCACCCAGCGGCCGCGGACAACUGAAUAAACACCCCAAAGCGCUGCGGUCGGUCAAGGGCGGGGACAGCCACACUGCGCGCGGGGCCCGCAGGCCGUAAUAAAGAGUGGCUCGACCUCGCUGCUGCCUGUCGCGGGAGAGGAACAAGCUUUCGACUAGCGCCUCUCCCCGGGGCCCGCGCCCCGAGCCCCACGCGCAAGACAGCCCAACAGCUGUUCCUCCCCUCCCCGCCGACUCCAACUCUUCGGAAUCUGCCCACUCGGGGCUGCAGGGCAAGUGUUUAGGAUGGUUCCCAGCCCCGCGCUGGCGGUGAAAAUUUCAACGUCAUUCCUUCAAUUAAAAAAAGGGGGGGGCAAGGGAGGGGCUUUGUGAUAACUACUCCCAGCUUCUUCUGAUCAUUUCAAAAUUAAGUCGAUUUUUUUUAACCAGUCCCCACUUACUGUCCUAACUCUCCUCGCUGACCCUAUCUGGGAGCCCGGAACCGUUAGGUACUGCCGAAUGCGGUGCAAAAUUUCCCCCUCUCCCCCAGUUCGCAGUGCCUGGAGCCGCUGGGGUUACUCGUCUGUUCUGAUGCCACCGCGAGAUGGUCCCCGAGCUCCCCGAGAGUCCUCAGUGAAAGGAUUCCGCGGCACUGCCUCUAUUAUUAUACCGUAAAUCUUUUUAAAUUCUGGAACUAAUUAUAUAGAGGAUAUGUCUCAAUUUGUUCUGCAUUAAUGCCACAGUGGGGAUGGAGGCCAGGCCGUGGCCAGAGCAGAUACGUAGGCCCAUGAAAUUGAUGAACUGAGAGUUGCUUCCAGUCCUGAGCGCACCAUCUGGAAUUCCAGUCUGAGGUUACAAUUAGAACUCCUGACCCCAGAUUCAACUUUGCAAACAACAGGGGAAAAAAAUGGGGAAAAGAAAAACCACGAGAGAGGGAAAAAAAAUUAUUCUGCACCUGUAAAAAAAAAAAAAAAAAAAAAAAAAAAAAAAAAGUCACACAAUCUUAAAAUCUUUCCGUCUUAGACAAUUCUUUCCAAGUAUUUCUUUUGUGUUUUUUAACCUAUAAAAGAUAAUGGAAUGUUUUAUAGACUGGAUUUUAUCUCAUCCCCUUUCCCUCUCCCAACUGCCCUCAGUUUAAUAGUUGUCAGUUUUACCUCAGUGUUGAAUUUAAUUAUAUAGGAACAAAAUAUUCCUCAGUAAAUUUGCUUGCUAAAUAUUCUGUCACAUUUACUUCCCCUUUGAGAAAUGGCUUAAUUAUAGAAAUCUACCUGCAUCUAGGAAUUUUUUUUCCCUUUUCUUUUUUGACCGCCAUUCCAGCUUAAUCGUAAGCAGAGAUUUUAUUUGUGCAGUAAUUUUAUUUGUGUUCUAAAUUCGUUUAGCCAAUUUCUUCCUUCUUUCUUUAGUAACACCCUGCUUUAUUUUCCUCUCACUUUGACCCCCUGAAGAAAACGAAGGACCAAGCAGUACUGGAGAAUCUGUUAAAUUUAUUAGCAUAAAUGCUUAGACAAAACGAGAUAUAAAUCAUUCAGAUGUAUUAAGCCAUAAAGUAUCCCAAUGAAGUCAGUCCCUUGCCAGGGUCCUGGUGUAUAAAUGUUCAUAUAAAACAAGGUAUCAGUAUUAUCUUUCAAACUGAAUAUAUGUUGUAAAAAUAUCCAAGGUUGAGUUAGGAAUAUGGGGGGAGGGUGCAGCAGGGCAGGAAGGGGAUAUUCUUUAGACCAGUUUGUUAACAUAGUGGUGGCUCAGAAAGUAUGGUGGAAAGGAAAAAUUUCAACCGUUUACAUUUGGAGUCUUCUUAGAUAAUAUGUUUUUAAAUAACGGUAUGCAGGAUAUAUUUGAGAGCAAAGGAAUAAGAGAAAAAAAAGAUGACUAGAGGGAGAAAGGCAUUGAUUUCUGUAGAAUGCAUUUGUCCCCCAAAGAUCAGUUUAGCUUCACAAAAAUCCACCCAGAGGAGGCACUGGCUCUUCACACAGAUAACGGAUUAUCCAGUAGAGAAGAGCUACCUGGGCCUUCGUCUGGCAACUGGGAUAUGCAGCCGCUGGUCAGCAGAGGGAUGUGUAUUCAUUAGCGGUGGAAGACGAGGAAAGCGCCCGGGAGUGAGGAAGAGGAAUGGACAGAAUUCCUGGCAGAAGCUUACCAAGACAAAAAUCAGACACAAUGUUUAAGCAGCAAUUGCUCGUGAAGUUCAUAACCAUGGCUCUCUGUAAAUCUUGGCAAAUUGGGACAUUCUUUGCUUUUUGGAAAUGAUUGUUUUCAAGACUUUUUUUAAAAAAUCAAGUUGUCCACCAGAAAAAUGGAAUAGCUCACCUUCCCCAUCUUUUUUUUAAAGCAGGGAUAUCCUCAUCCUUUCCGUGCCAUUCAUUCUUUCAUUCAUUCACUCACCGUGCAACAAAGAUUGUUGGGCAUUGUAGCAGCAAGUAGGAGCACAGGGUAAUGACAGGCUCACCCCGCUCUCACAGUUUAUAUUCCAGUAGGUAUGACAGAUACAUUACAAGGAAACAAUGAGAUAUUUUCAUAUAGUAGUAAUUGCUAUAAAAGAACAAGGAGAUCUGUAAGACUAGAGAAUGACUAAAGGUGAGAUGGGAAUGAGGAGCAACAGAUAGCCCUCACUUCCUUUUGCUUUCUGCCCACACUACCACAUUUUAGUGUGUUUAGGAAGUAUUCCACCUUACAGUCCAGAUGCAGGAAGGGUUUGAAGGAUUUGGAAUGGUUGGUCUGGAUAAAUCUCUGCCUACAAAACUGGACUUUAUGAAAGCGGCAGGGCAGCUGUUUAUAUAGCUGGCUUAAAAUCAUCACCACUAGCUGAGUGACUCUGAAAGCUAUUUAACCCCUGAGAAAUUCAGUUUUCUUCUCUUCAAGAUAAAAAAUAACAGCAAGUUAUGAGGACUACAUAAGGUAAGGCAUGUAAAUUUCUUAGCCUUUAGGAAGCACUCAAUACAUGUUGGCUAUUAUCUAUAUAGACAUAAAUUCUAUGCUUUGCUUCCAAUUAAUUGAUAAGUUAUAGGCUUAGUAUUGAUAUUGGUGUGAAUUCAGAAAAGGUGGAAGUCUUUGUUCUUGUUGGAUCAGGGUGAAGAGCAGGAAGAGAAACCUUUGCUGAAUCUGACCUUAAACAAGGUUGUUGCCAUCUAGAAGGAAAUUUAAAUGAUUUUGCCCUACACCAGGACCCUAAAACAGGAAAUAUGUGGCUUUUGCCUCAAAAUCAAGCUUAGGUUCCUUCUUUUAGUACAGAAGUCUAUAGGUUAACAACCUGAAAAUCUUAGAAUUGCAUUGAAAAUCUUAGAAUUGCAUUGUUCCUUAGAGCCACAUUUCAGGUUUGCAGCCUUGUCCAGGAUAAAGAAUUCUGGGGUAGGUAUAAAAACACCUGAACUCAAAUCCUAUCUCUAUCAGUUACUGUGAUCUUAGGGAAAUAGCUUCAGCUCUCAGUUUUUCAGUAGCUUUAUGUGUAAAAUGGAGAUUAUAUAAAAUGAAAUAAAGCAUCCAUAGGUGAUUUGAAAACUCUGAAGUGUCAGACAGUGCAGAAGACCAUCAUAACAUUGUUACAUGUGAACAUGUGGAAAGGAAUAUGUCUAUUCAGAACACUGGGGCACAUUGCUUGCUCUCAUGGUUCUUCAUUUUUAAGUGAGUAUAGUACCUUUCAUGCAGGGCUAUUGUGAUAAGUAAGUGAGAUCAUAUAUAUAAACUUUCAAAACAAUGCAUAGCAUAGAAUGUGUGCUAUGUAAGCAUCACUGCUACGGUUAUUGUUACUGUUCUCUGGCCAUCUUGUUGGGCCAAGUGUUGAACCUUAUAAUUUUCACAUAGAGAGCUUCUUACUGUAGAAGUUUAUAAUAGUAUAGAGAGCAAGGCUUUGGGAUCAGAUGACUGGGGUUUAAAGCCUCCUCGCUAGUUAUUUUCUGUAUGGCUUUGGGUGGCUUCCUUAUUUUCUCUGAGCUUUAAUUUUCAUAACCUUAAAACAGGGCUAAUGAUACCAUCACCUCACAGGGUUGUUUUGAGAACAAAUUAAAACACCAUAUGUAAAUUGCUUUCGUGGCACCUGGCAUGUAGUAAGAAAUCAAUAACUGGUAGUUAUUAAACCUACAAUUCUUCUAAUCAGACAAUAUUAGCUAUGACUUAAAACAGGUGAGCCUGCAAGAGCUUGAAUUACAGCAUGAUUCUGAACAAACACAGAAAGUAAUUUCUAUCUUCUUUUAAACUCACCUGUACUACACUGAAAUCUCACUCUUUCACAUAUGAAAGACUUUGCAACCAAGGCACUGACAAGGAUUUCCUUUUUGACUAUGAACGCUUUAGGUUAAAAUUCUGAAUCUCAUUUAUUUUUAAUGGGUUUCUUUGCAAAAUACCCAGCGUAUGUCAAGGACAUUGGUAAUCCCAUGUUCUUCAAAAUAAGCAGGAAAUUGAUUUCAGCCAAUGGGGAGAAAAAGUAGUUUGAUCCUCUUCCUGGAGUUACCACAUAGCAUUUAUUAAUAGCUCUGUAAACGGUCUGGAACACAGUAUCAGCUUGCUGUUCAAAAUAUGACAAAAGUUUAUGCAAAGUUGCUUAGGAAAAACAAGAUCUAGUCAUUAGAAAUCUGACACUGGUCAAUAGUACAUUUAUUCCAAGUCUCCAUAAAUCACAAACAAAUGAAACUUCUAUUGUGAUCACUGUUCCAGAUCUAAAAGACCCUCCCCCUUACUUUGGUAGAAAUUAAAUACAUUUUAGAAAGCCCAAUAUUUUUUCCUCUACAAAUAGAGGCUAAUUACAAAAUUUCCCAAGAAAUAAUAAAUAUUAAACUAUAAUCAACAGAUGUGACACAAGAUGAAUAAGAAGCACAUAACUUAGCUUUCAUUCCUUAUGUAGGGCGCAUGUUUAUCUUUAAUUAUCCCCAACCUGGGAAUGGCAUAAAUGUUAUCUGUUUUAUUUAUUAUUUGUAUCUAGAGUGACAUCACAUUUUGAUUUUGCCCAGGACAGUCUCAGCUUAAGCUGUUGUCCCAGCUUAAUUAUUAAUUACUCUCCUUUUACUCCAAAGUAUUCUACUUUUGAUGGUAAAUAAGGACUUCACUUGCUUAAAAUUUUAUUUUAUUAAAAAAAUGAUAGAUUUAAGAAAGCCAUUGGAACAAGGGUAAAAGAUAGGCUAAAUGGGGCUAAUGAGAAGAAAAAAAUUGAAUUAAUAUUAGAAUCAAAGGAUGCAGAUAGUUACUAUAAUUGAGCAUAAUGCAAUUCUGAACUUCCUGACAGCCAAGUAAGAAAGGGGAAAAUAGCACUAGUUACCUAUCUUUCGUGAUGCAAUAAAGGGAAGAAACCUAGUUUUUCAGAAGAGAUGAAUUUUUUCUAGUACUAAACUCAAAGAGGAACUUACCAUACUAGCCUUUCUAUAAGAGUUAUCAGGUAACGGUUAGCGACUUCAAAAAUAAUGUUUCAAAAGAUGCAACGACAUUUUCUGGUAGUUUAUUUCAACCCAAUGUCCACAGCAUUAAAAUUAUGGUUCUGUAAACUGUAAGAGGAGAGAGGCAAUAAUAUAGUCCCUUUUUGUAGUUUUCUGGAGGAUCUGACCUGAUCAAAUCAACCUGAUUUGUUAAUUUUUAGAAUGUGCCUAAUGGGUUUUUUUUUAUUUUUAUUUUUUAUUUUUUUUGAGGCAGAAUCUUGCUCUGUCACCCAGGUUGGAGUGCAGUGACCCCAUCUCGGCUCACUACAACCUCCGCUACCCGAGUUCAAGCGAUUCUCUUGCCUCAGCCUCCCAAGUAGCGGGGAUUACAGGCACCCACCACCCCGCCUGGCUAGUUUUUGUAUUUUUAAUAGAGACAGGGUUUCACCAUGUUGGUCAGGCUGGUCUUAAACUCCUGACUUCAGGUGAUCCACCCGCCUUGGCCUCCCAAAGUCUGGGAUUACAGCCGUGAGCCACCACGCCCGACCCCGUAAUUUUUUAAAAGCAUCUUUUAUUCGUUAAUCAUCAGUUAACUUGAACCCGAAUCCAAACGCUGCGAAAGACCUGACCAUUGUUCUCCAGAAUCUGCGAACGAUUUGGUGAGAGCUCUAGGGCAGUGGUUGUUCUCAACUGAGAUGAUUUGCAACCCAGCAGACGUCUGGCAAUGUCUAGAGAUAUUUUUUGUCACGACUUACAGUAAGACAGGAUCACUAGAUGCACAGUCCUGGUAUCUAGUGAGUAGAGGCCAGGGAUGCUGUUAAACAUUCUAUAAUGCACAGGACAGACCCCCCAGAACAAAGAAUUAUCCAGCCUAAAAUGUCAAUAGUGCCGAGACUGAGAAACUGUGCCCCAGGGUACUGUUAGAAGAAGGGAUGGAGGGCCAGGCGCGGUGGCUCACGCCUGUAAUCGCAGCACUGUGGGAGGUCAGGCGGGCGGAUCACGAGGUCAGGAGAUCAAGACCAUCCUGAUUAACACGGUGAAACCCCGUCUCUACUAAAAAAUACAAAAAAUUAGCCGGGAGUGGUGGCGGGCGCCUGUAGUCCUAGCUGCUUGGGAGGCUGAGGCAGGAGAAUGGCGUGAACCCAGCAGGCGGAGCUUGCAGUGAGCUGAGAUCGCGCCACUGCACUCCAGCCUGGGCAACAGAGUGAGGAUCUGUCUCUAAAUAAAUAUAUAAAUAAAAGAAGGGAUGGAGACAUAGUUUUUAGCUGGAGUCAAAAGAAAAAAUCCUCAUGGGGAAGGGGAGCUUGGGCUAGAUUCCUUCAUCCCACCCAGUGGAGCUGGAGGAUGUCUCUCCCCAAGCUCAGCAAAUGUCAGGAAAAAAAUACAAGAAGAGGCAAUCAUGUGGAAAUGCAGUCCACAAAGGGAAUUGUGGAUAAACUCAUUUAACCAGAAAGGAGGAAGAAUCCAUGUAGAGCAAUAAGAAAGAAAGCCAGAUAGCACAGCACAUGCAAAUUUAGGGCAAAGAGUUUCUGUUUUGAUGUUAUGCUCCAAUAUCACUAAAUAUUGCUGGUAUUUUUUAAAGCCACACAAAUCAAGGGCAGCAUAAACUUUUAUGUUCCCAGAGUUCAUCUUUGGAAUACUGGCUUAUAGUGUAUAUGUGGAUAUGCACAUAUUUUGCUUCCUCUCCUCCACAUCGUUUUUUACCACUUACAUAAUAGGGAUUCCUUGGAACUCAGUUUUAUAUCACAUUAAAUUUAAAAAUGGGUGCCUACUCAAAAAGACAACCUAUCAAGGCACAGAAAAUUCUGAACCACUGCUGUAAUGAAUACAUCAUUGGAAUCUCCAUUAAGAAAUAUUAUUCUGACCUAGUUCUCUGUGUCAUGCUGCAGAUUGUCCUUCUCUUGACUCAUGGAAUGCUUUGUGAGAAAGAACUACAAAGCCGGGUCCCUCGAUAUUAGCCAUCUCACCCUUCAAAGUUCAGCCAGGAGUGGGACAAAACCCUCGUCACCAUGUUGACAUGUUUACUUCUGGCGCAGGAAAAUACUGCUGUUGCCCAAUUUGGUUUCCCAGUCCAUUCACUUGCCUGGAGACAUAUAUUUUAUGCUUUCCUUUGAUGAUUUACAAAUAAAUUAACGUGAUUCACUAAGGUCUGCCAGCAUAUAUGCGUUACUGGAGAAAUCUGAGAUGUUGAAAAAGUAUUUUAAUUUAUUGUAUCCCAAUACUUUCUUAAGAAAGUUUCUUAAGAACCAAAUAAAUAUCAUCAGCUAGUUUAUAUACCUGACAUAUUUAUUACGGUAUUCCCGCUGAGCACUUCCCAUUGUCAUGUGUUCUCACACAUUGUUUUCACAAAUUGUGUUUUGAAAGAAGUCAAGGGAAAUUCAGGCCAGAGAAGCAAGAUGUUAUCUUUUGGAAAGGAUGAGCCCACUCUAAUGGAAGAGGAUAAUCCAUUCAGAGGUUUGUGAGGCCAAUAUCCCCCAGUGGGUGUGAUAAAUCCACAGCGUCUGAAUCCAGAAUUUUGCACUGGGACCUUGAAGUUGCAUGAACAAUUUAGUCAUGUUCCAAAUAAACACAGUGUAUCAUUAUUAUUAUUGGAUAAACAUGAACAUCUGUUAGGUCAAGUUUGCCCUAUUUCCUUAAAGGCAACUGGAGUCCCUGAACACAGUUCUCAUAUGUCUAUCACAAAUGGAUCUGAGAUGGGUGUAUAAUGCCAAAGCGGCUCCUUGACCAUCUCUGUGUUUGGAAACCAGAUUUUAAAAAGAAAAAAAAAAGUCACCUGCUCAUCUGAGGUGGGUCACAUGCCUAGAGAGCACCAUAGAGACUGCAGUUCCCUUCUGAAUCCCAUCAACAGAGCUACUGUCAAAAGAUGAAAAUAUUUGAAUCAGCUGGCCUUCUUCAUUUUUAAAGCAAUGUUGUACAUAUUUUAAGCAAUUAUUUGGGGCGAGAGGACUCUAAUUGACACCAUUCUCUUGUCCUAACUCAGCCUGGCACCUUUCCAGCUGUCACUCAGUGGGCACAGGAUAUGGAGGAUGAUUUCUCACCAGGCUGAAUCAGCAGGUUGCAGCAGGUUACAACUGCAAGGGACUUUACAAAGCUUCUAAUCCUACCCCUCAUUUUUCAGAUAAGACAUUAUUGAUACGAUCUGCCCAAGAUCAUGCACUUAGUUAGUGGCAGAGCUUUACCCAAGGCCAGGAAAUAAAAUCUGUCUUUCUGGAACAGCAUUCAUUGGUUUGCACUUACCGAGUACCUUUUACAG
Molecule: long non-coding RNA, 11800 nt
Filed under: Homo sapiens (human)
Lineage: Eukaryota; Metazoa; Chordata; Mammalia; Primates; Hominidae
Description: HSALNT0362165
Rfam family: WT1 antisense RNA conserved region 7 (bases 3814-4107)
Source: RNAcentral